Long non-coding RNA from Mastomys coucha (southern multimammate mouse), 299 nucleotides. RefSeq lists it as uncharacterized. The record is from RefSeq and is a predicted model, not a curated record. The transcript is spliced from 2 exons. Lineage: Eukaryota; Metazoa; Chordata; Mammalia; Rodentia; Muridae.
AUUUGGAUAGAUGUUGUGUCUUCCUCACCUCUGAUCCUGGGUCAUCUCAAGCCUGCUGUCUAUGGGUCUGGCUUUAUUCUUGCUUACCUUACAGUAAUGCCAACAUGCAAACUCAGACUAAAGAACUGAUGCUUUCAACUAUCAGAUUACACAUGAAGGAACCUCUCAAUCAGAGAUGGAUGGAGGCUUAGCCACACCGGAAAAUACAAAUCAGGACAUGAGUUCUGCUAGGAGGAAUGAGUCCUCUAGGCUUUGCACCAAUUUUUAGAGUCUUUAAAUAAAGGCUGAUUGCUUUGGGA